GGUGCACAUCGCGACUGGCGUACGGGGAAACAACCUCGAGGAAGCGGUGUGCGGGAAACCUCACGAGGUGCCGCCCCGCCUGGGCACCCCGG
Non-coding RNA from Streptomyces auratus AGR0001, 92 nucleotides. The record is from Rfam. NCBI's taxonomy places the organism in Bacteria, Bacillati, Actinomycetota, Actinomycetes, Kitasatosporales, Streptomycetaceae.